UGGAAAGGCGGUUGGAGCGCGGGUGCCUCCCCGCGGGUCUCCUCGGGCGGCCACGCCGCGCCCCCUCCGCCCGGACCCGGGACCGGGACGCGCAGGGCGGUGCCUGCCCCCGUGGUGGGUGUUUAGAGCCCGCGGGAAGUAAACCUCGGCUGUUUAAGUUACUGAGCCGGGAGGGUUUUGUCACCUGAGCGGACCUUUGUCACCUCUGAUGUAAGAGGAGGAGACCCCGGGGACCUUCUCAUCGGGCUACUUUGGAGACCCCGGGACCUCGGACCUCGCAGGCGGCCCUUGCUCUCGCUCUGCCUCUGCCCUUGACCCCCGGUCUCUCCCCCGGGUAGCCAGGCGCUUUUACCCGCUGGCGCGCGUUGGGCGGGAGGACGGUCCGCUGCAGGAGCCCGGGGCUCUGAGCCGAGGCUGGGCUCUGACGCCUGCGCUUGGCUCCCUCCUGCCAGGCGCCCCCCGGAUCCAGACGCCCCUGUCCCCGCGCGGGCUCCCCUGCCCUCCUGAGCCGGAGCUCUGGUCAGGGCCACACACUAGAAUGGUACCUUUCCAGUCUUGUCCCACUACAGUUUACCUGUCACGGAAUUACGGAAGUUAUAGUUAAGGAAAGGAGAUGAUAGUUGUGAAGGGGAAUGUUAACCGCUUUACCAAGCAUGUGCGAUGGGUGCAGCGGCCUGGAGCCAAGAGGUUUGAGGGCAGGGGCCAGGGCGGUAGAUGAUGCCAUGGGGUGGCCACUUCCACAGAGUGCUCUUUGCCCUGUUCCUGGGCUGUAUGUAAGGAGGCACUUUCUCAAUACCCUGAGCUGGUCGUGACUAUAGCCAGUGUCCCGCAGCUCCUCCUGUCCAGCGUUAGCUGUGGUGGGAAAUGCUCAGACCCACCCAGCCUUGAUCUGCCAUCGUUGUGCUUAGGUGCCCGCCGGUCCAAGCACAUACCUUCCUGAGCACGUCUCCAGUCUUCCUCUCCUCUACUGCUCUUCUCUGUAUUUGACCCAGAAGACAUAGGUCUUGACGGAGGUGGCAGGUAAGGACUAGUGGAAAGCGCCCGCUCGUAUCAGCUACAUUUGUUUAGCUAAUUAUGGAAAAUUACAGGCUGACUCUACAGGUGUAACUUCCAGUUCAGAAUUGUCAAAAGAUUUAUGUUUCCGGUGUCAAUUCUGUAGAAAAUAGUAUCUCAGGGUUCAGUUAGAAAACAGGUAGUGGGUGAAAAUGCCAAGCCUUGCAGUUGUUGCAAUCCUGUUACUGUACAAUUUGGCAUAGUCUGGCCAUCCUAUUAAUUCGCACCAAAUGGGACAUUAAGGAGAAAAUGAGUGUAGAAUAUCCCAUUUCAAUUUCUGUUUAGAAGUUCAGAUAUCCUACUGCCAAUGAGAGACCAAUGUUAUUUCCACAGAACAGAUUCCUUUGUUCUUAGAUACACGUAUGCAGAAUUAUAUGUUGAUCAGUAUUAUUAAGUACUUAGAGUUUUUCAACUCUUGUCAUAAAUUAAGGCUGAAAAAAAAUAUAUGAUUAGAGAACAUUGUUAAAAUGUGGGUUUAUGUCAAGACUGUGUGGUUCAUUGGGGAAGAGUUAACCCAGUUACCCAGCUGGUCACAUUCCCCCCUAUAGCUUCAUGUGCCUCCCUUUCCAGUGUAUGCUCUCAGGUGAACAGGAAGAAGAGGGGUACCUCCCAGAAAAAAGAAGGUUCAUUUCCAGUUAAAAGAAAGGAGUUAAAAAAAGAAGCACAGGAGGAGUGGAUGGGCUUGUCUGCUCAACCACCAGAUGAGACAGUUACUUGUUUCUCCAUAAUUACUGGGAAUAUCUAUGACCCCAGCAUUUUAAAGGACACACUGGGGGUGAGACUCUGCCCUCAAGGACUCGUCUUCCAGUGUGAGAGGCAUAAACCACAUAGCACGCAUGUUACACAGAACAACAGCACAGAGGCAGAAAUGACGAACUCUGUCUGGGAGUGAGGAAAGUUUUAAGUUCUGUAGUGGAGGCGAUAUUCGAGCUGAUGUUGAAAGCGUCUCCAGCAACCGUUGCGUUCUUAGCAAAGUCCCUCAGGAACUGCGUCUGUCCUGUUCUCACUUUGAACUUUGUUCUUCGGAAGGUGUGUAGGGUCUGCUGACCCUCUUCGUGGGUUUUGGGCGGCUCCCUCCUCUUGCAGGGCUGUUGAGAUGGGCAACUCCUUGUACAAACCCUUCUUUAUUUUUGAAGUAAUCUGUGUAAUUAGCUCUUGUUGAGUGGAAGCCCCAGAAGACACGUCUACCCCGAAACUGCGCUUGAGCUUGUUUGGGAAAAGGGUCUUUGAAGGUUUCCAUAGACAACACUGAUUCAUUCAUAAAAGAAACAAAAAAAAAAAGGAAAUUUCAGAAUUAUAGGCUCCUUGGCAAGAGGAAAUUCACCCGUUGAGUUGUUGGACAAAUAAGUUUGACCAUCUAAUAAAAUCAGGUGUACAAUUUGUCCCAUAGUGAUAAUUCUGUCUGGGCAAUAUAAUAAAACUUAUAAAAAGUGGUUCCUUGUAUUUCUAAGGCAACUCACUUUAUAAAAGAAUUUUUAAAAAUAAAAUGUCAAUUGAUGUCGUUAAAUGUUUGUUAAUAAUUGACCGCUUGAGGAAUAUACUAGAAAGAAAAAAAUGUGAAAGCUUUACUCUUGGAAACAUAACCACUAAUCAGUUAAAAUGGAAUACUAUUUCAGUAUAAGAGAAGAGCUUAAAGGGGCAAACAUUUUAUAUAUACUUUAAAAAUACCUAUUAUACUAAAAGUAGCAAGAAGUCAUAUGAACACUUUUAAUGUGAUUUUUGUUCAUUUAUGUUCCUUGGGAAAACAUUCCUACAAAAAUUUUCAAAAUAAAAGGGAAUAAUUUAAUAUCAAUAGUUACAGGAACUAAUACUGCUGUUUAUAACAAAACUACUUUAGUAUUUUUUAAAAAAUACUGUGGUUAAAUGUUUUUUUCCUUGGUUUGCACACACCGAGAAAACUUGACCUAACUUUUUCAAAUUUAAUAGAUGUGAAUAGAAAUUAUAAUUAUGAAUCUGGACUCCUGUUUUUGCAUCUUUAUUACCUUACAAGUAAAUGAAAUAACACCCCCUUCUAACCAGUGGAGAUAAACAAUUUAGGAUUAGUUUUAAAAGUCUACUUAAUAAAGGCAAUUUUCUAGAGUAAAAGAAUUGUUCAUAAUUCCUCACAUUCCAGUUUAUAAAAUAAACUUUUUUCUGUUUGACAACCCAUAAAUAAGAGAUCUAUUUCAAAAUUACAUUUUUACUGGAGCCGCUCCUCAUUAAAACAACAAAUGGUCUCAUGAUCCCAGAGAAAGAACACGUUCAGCUUGUUCCUUGGGCUGCGUUUAGACUUAGGUAUGAGCCACUGAGAUUCCCCUCGAUUGCCUGUCCGUGUAACAGACCACAGCCUGCCCUCAAGAACGAUUUCCUUCUUGCUGUUACAGGUAAACUAGUAUUGAUAAGUUACCUCAGAAUUUUAUUUUGGAACCUAAGACCCUUACUAGGUUCUUUUAUUGGGAGGGGCACCUUAAAUAUCCCCUGUCUUCAGCGUGAUAUAGGUCAUGAGAAAAUCUGAUCCACUUCUUGCCCCAACCUAUAUUUUACUCUGUUGGGUUUUGUUUGUUUUAAUUUUUUAUUUUGAUUCACUUCUAAUUUUUUUCUCAAUGGUGAACUUGUAUGAUAUUCC
Molecule: long non-coding RNA, 3658 nt
Organism: Miniopterus natalensis
Lineage: Eukaryota; Metazoa; Chordata; Mammalia; Chiroptera; Miniopteridae
Source: RefSeq, a predicted model, not a curated record